UUUAAAUAACAACCAGCCACUACCCCGGAGUCAGCAGCGAUGCUGGGACUUAUCAGAAGUGUCAACUUGAUCUAUAGCAUUCCCUUAAAGCCUGCUUGUACACGAUAAUAAAAGCUUUGUAAGAAUUAGGCUUGGGGCUUCUCGGGUGCAUCCUCUCCUGGAGGCACUGAGAGGCCCGGGUUCGAACUGGUAAUAAAAACGACCCUGCUAAUUGGCUUCAACUUCGGUCUCUGGUGGUGUGAUUUUCGGGGGACCUGGACUGCGGGCAUAACAAAUUUUGGGGGCUCAUCCUGGGAUUCACCGAAGCCCACCCAGACACCUUGUUGAAGGGUCGUGGAAGGACCGGUCCGGGGAUGACUGCCAACAACUCCUCUGAAUCCUGUUCACCACGGAGGAACGAGAACGAAUCCAGUUAGAAGCCAGGAAAUUGGUUCCUGGCGACGAUGGUCAACCCCCCGCCAACCCAGAUUUAAUCAAUGAUGCUUUUCCUUUGACCAGACCCCCAGAAGAUGGCUGGGACUACAACACGGCAGAAGCCACUGACCGCCCUUAACCCGCCUCCCUGCUCCCUGACCCGGACCUGGAGGCCCCACUCCAUGAUUGUGCUGAGGUGUUAGCCCAGGUGCACGGAGUAAGAGAAGACCUACGAGAUCAAGCCCUGCCCAACACUGAGGUAACCUGGUUUACCGACGGGAGCAGCUUCGUGCAUCAAGGACAGGGGUAUGCGGGGGCAGCGGUGGCUUCAGAGACUGAGGUAAUAUGGGCCGAGCCCCUGACAGCAGACACCUCGGCACAAAAAGCAGAACUUAUAGCCCUAACCCAAGCCUUAAAACUAGGAAAGGGAAAAAGACGUACAGUCUACACUGAUGGCCGGUACGCCUUUGCCACCGCCCAUAUACGUGAGGCUAUAUAUCGGGAAAGAGGUCUCCUGACAGCAGAGGGAAAACCAUAAAGAACAAAGGAGAAAUCUUAACUCUCCUAGCCGCUUUAUGGGCGCCAAAAAGAUUGGCAAUUGUGCAUUGCCCGGGCCACCAAAAACCUAUAGACCCCGUGUCAAGGGGCAAUUAUUUUGCUGAUCAGACAUAGC
Oryctolagus cuniculus (rabbit) is the source of this 1087-nucleotide non-coding RNA. The record is from RefSeq and is a predicted model, not a curated record. Lineage: Eukaryota; Metazoa; Chordata; Mammalia; Lagomorpha; Leporidae.